AAGUCGUAACAAGGUUUCCGUAGGUGAACCUGCGGAAGGAUCAUUAUUGAAUAAACUUGGUGGGUUGUUGCUGGCCUCCAGUUCAGGGGGCAUAUGUGCACACCUUCCUUUGUUUUUUCUUUCACCACCUGUGCACAUUUUGUAGACUUGGAUAAUCUUUCGAGGCAACUCGGUCGGGAGGCUGUCAACUGAUCUUAGUGGGCUGUCUCUGUAUUUCCAGUCUACGUUCUUCAUAUACACCACUGUAUGUCAUAGAAUGCAUUAGUAUUUGGGUCCUUGAAAGGCCUAAUAAAUUUCAUACAACUUUCAACAACGGAUCUCUUGGCUCUC
This 330-nucleotide unclassified non-coding RNA is filed under the name fungal sp. Its description in RNAcentral is "partial internal transcribed spacer region". The stretch from base 1 to 46 matches the Rfam family "Eukaryotic small subunit ribosomal RNA", at positions 1786 to 1831 of the family's 1831-position model. Lineage: Eukaryota; Fungi. The record is from RNAcentral.